Molecule: ribosomal RNA, 1489 nt
Filed under: uncultured sludge bacterium A31
Lineage: Bacteria; Bacillati; Chloroflexota
Description: 16S ribosomal RNA
Rfam family: Bacterial small subunit ribosomal RNA
Source: RNAcentral
AGAGUUUGAUCAUGGCUCAGGAUGAGCGCUGGCGGCGUACCUAACGCAUGCAAGUCGAACGGACUCGAGUAGCAAUACUGGGGUUAGUGGCAAACGGGUGAGUAACACGUAGGGAUCUGCCUUGAGGUGGGGAACAACGGACCGAAAGGUUCGCUAAUACCGCAUGUGGUCGCGAGACCAAAGGAUUCGAAAGGAUUCGCCUUGAGAGGAGCCUGCGUUCGAUCAGGUAGUUGGUGAGGUAACGGCUCACCAAGCCGAUGACCGAUAGCUGUUCUCGAGAGGAAGAUCAGCCACACUGGGACUGUGACACGGCCCAGACUCCUACGGGAGGCAGCAGCGAGGAAUAUUGCACAAUGGACGCAAGUCUGAUGCAGUAACGCCGCGUGGGGGAAGAAGACCUUCGGGUUGUAAACCUCUUUUAUAUAGGACGAGUGUGGACGGUACUAUAGGAAUAAGUCUCGGCUAACUACGUGCCAGUAGCCGCGGUAAGACGUAGGAGGCGAGCGUUAUCCGGAUUCACUGGGCGUAAAGCGCAUGUAGGCGGUUUGUUAAGUCCGGUGUUAAAGCCCCUGGCUCAACUGGGGGAGGUCAUUGGAGACUAACAGACUUGAGGGCAACAGAGGCACGUGGAACUCCCGGUGUAGCGGUGGAAUGCGUAGAGAUCGGGAAGAACACCAGUGGCGAAGGCGACGUGCUGGGUUGCAACUGACGCUGAGAUGCGAAAGUGUGGGGAGCAAACGGGAUUAGAUACCCCGGUAGUCCACACUGUAAACGAUGAACCCUAGGUGUGGGGCGGUAAAACGCUCCGUGCCGAAGCCAACGCGUUAAGGGUUCCGCCUGGGGACUAUGAGCGCAAGCUUAAAACUCAAAGGAAUUGACGGGGGCCCGCACAAGCAGCGGAGCGUGCGGUUCAAUUCGAUGCGACACGAAGAACCUUACCAGGGUUUGACAUGCAGGUGGUAGGGAAGGGAAACUGGACCGACUCGCAAGAGAGCCUGCACAGGUGAUGCAUGGCUGUCGUCAGCUCGUGCCGUGAGGUGUUGGGUUAAGUCCCGCAACGAGCGCAACCCCUGUUGCCAGUUACAAGUGUCUGGCGAGACUGCCGACGAUUCGUCGGAGGAAGGCGGGGAUGACGUCAAGUCAGCAUGUCCUUUAUAUCCUGGGCGACACGCACGCUACAAUGGGCGUUAAUAAGGACGUAGCCAAGAGGAAACUCGGAGCAAAUCGCGGAAAAGCGCCCACAGUUCAGAUUGCCGGCUGCAACCCGCCGGCAUGAAGUCGGAGUUGCUAGUAAACGCGCGUCAGCCAUAGUGCGUUGAAUACGUUCCCGGGCCUUGUACACACCGCCCGUCACGUCAUGGGAGUCGGCAACACCUGAAGUCGGUGACCUAACCGCAAGGAAGGAACUGCCGAAGGUAGGGCUGGUGACUGGGACGAAGUCGUAACAAGGUAGCUGUACCGGAAGGUGCGGCUGGAUCACCUCCUUUCU